Molecule: ribosomal RNA, 507 nt
Filed under: uncultured bacterium
Lineage: Bacteria
Description: partial 16S ribosomal RNA
Source: RNAcentral
GGAGUUAGCCGGUGCUUCUUCUGUGAGUGAUGUCCUUCCUGCCGGCUAUUAACCCGCAGGCCUUCUUCCUCACUGAAAGUGCUUUACAACCCGAAGGCCUUCUUCACACACGCGGCAUGGCUGGAUCAGGGUUGCCCCCAUUGUCCAAUAUUCCCCACUGCUGCCUCCCGUAGGAGUCUGGGCCGUGUCUCAGUCCCAGUGUGGCUGAUCAUCCUCUCAGACCAGCUACGGAUCGUCGCCUUGGUGAGCCGUUACCUCACCAACCAGCUAAUCCGACAUAGGCUCAUCCGAUAGCGCGAGGCCCGAAGGUCCCCCGCUUUCCCCCGGUAGGGCGUAUGCGGUAUUAGCCUGGGUUUCCCCCAGGUUAUCCCCCACUACCGGGCAGAUUCCUAUGCAUUACUCACCCGUCCGCCGCUCGCCACCAGGGAGCAAGCUCCCCGUGCUGCCGCUCGACUUGCAUGUGUAGCUCGCCGCCACGCGUCAUCUGAGCGAGAAUACAACUACUGA